Molecule: long non-coding RNA, 866 nt
Filed under: Homo sapiens (human)
Lineage: Eukaryota; Metazoa; Chordata; Mammalia; Primates; Hominidae
Description: HSALNT0294740
Source: RNAcentral
GCAGGAGAAUGGCUUGAACCCAGGAGGCGGAGGUUGCAGUGAGCCAAGAUGGCGCCACUGCACUCCAUCCAGACUGGGAGACAGAACAAGACUCUGUCCCAAAAAAAAAAAAAAAAAAAAAGAGAAAAUGUAACCUGAUUCUGUAGUCUCAGGCUGAUGAAUUUUGGAACACUUAGCCGUAUAAUCAGGUGUCACUGGUAUGGCAUACUCCACAGUUUGGGAUAUAAAUAUAGUCUCAUCUUUUAUUUUUCCAUUAAUCACUUGAGAGCCCAACUGCAGUUAGUGGCAGGAGGUCCAGUAUCUCCCUGGAGACCUUCCUACCAACCCUCUGAAUUGUUCAAGAACAAGGGCUUCUGCCUGUCUUGUCAGGUCCUUGGGAGAGAGUGGAGGAGAUGGUGUUCUCGUGUUAAUUGAGGCUGAGAAAGCAGCACUGCUCACGUUUUGCUUUAUUUUCUUCCUCUCCUAGGCAGAAUCAGUGUUACAUUUGUGGUCAGAUGAGCUAACGACAUCCUUCCUGACUUCUUUCUCAGAAUUAGGAAACCCUGAUUAGCAUUUAGAACCUCAUUUUCACAGACUUCACUCAUUAAAACAUCAAGACCUAGGUAACGCACCACUGAAAUUUCAUAAUAUGGAGGAUAUGUUUAAAUAUGUUUAAAAUAUGUAUUUUUAACUGUGGUUAAAAUAUGUUUUUAAAAUGUUUAUGAGUCAAAAUAAUUAAAAUUGCCAUUUAACGUAAGAAUUGAUUGUUGCUUCUUCUUCUUCUAAGAGAGAUGACAAAAUUCUGUUUGGUGGGGAAAUAAAUCUCUAUCUUAUUCCCUGCUCUUCCCAGAAGCUAUUGGGGGAGGCAAAAGGAAAAGAGAGCUCGA